GUAGGUGAACCUGCGGAAGGAUCAUUAACGAUUUGUCAGCCUUCAGCCGAGCUUGUCUCGCUGUCGGCAUCACAUUUACUAGCCAUGCCUUCGAGCUGGUUGGGAAGAAGCCUUGUGCUUCUAUACACCAAAGCCUUGUCUUGAUAUCCUGGAUAUAUCAUCCUUGAUAGCUUGCUUGGUUCGGUGGCAACGCUGUCAACAAGCUUUGAGCUUGCGGUAGUUGUUGCAUGUCAAUUAAACAAUAGUAACC
RNAcentral lists this unclassified non-coding RNA (250 nucleotides) under plant metagenome. RNAcentral's name for it is "partial contains small subunit ribosomal RNA, internal transcribed spacer 1, and 5.8S ribosomal RNA". The record is from RNAcentral.